RNAcentral lists this ribosomal RNA (480 nucleotides) under Bacillus subtilis subsp. subtilis. RNAcentral describes it as "bacterial SSU rRNA". It matches the Rfam family "Bacterial small subunit ribosomal RNA", at positions 59 to 521 of the family's 1533-position model. The record is from RNAcentral. Lineage: Bacteria; Bacillati; Bacillota; Bacilli; Caryophanales; Bacillaceae.
CAGUCGAGCGGACAGAUGGGAGCUUGCUCCCUGAUGUUAGCGGCGGACGGGUGAGUAACACGUGGGUAACCUGCCUGUAAGACUGGGAUAACUCCGGGAAACCGGGGCUAAUACCGGAUGGUUGUUUGAACCGCAUGGUUCAAACAUAAAAGGUGGCUUCGGCUACCACUUACAGAUGGACCCGCGGCGCAUUAGCUAGUUGGUGAGGUAACGGCUCACCAAGGCAACGAUGCGUAGCCGACCUGAGAGGGUGAUCGGCCACACUGGGACUGAGACACGGCCCAGACUCCUACGGGAGGCAGCAGUAGGGAAUCUUCCGCAAUGGACGAAAGUCUGACGGAGCAACGCCGCGUGAGUGAUGAAGGUUUUCGGAUCGUAAAGCUCUGUUGUUAGGGAAGAACAAGUACCGUUCGAAUAGGGCGGUACCUUGACGGUACCUAACCAGAAAGCCACGGCUAACUACGUGCCAGCAGCCGCGGA